This is a long non-coding RNA of Astyanax mexicanus (Mexican tetra), 295 nucleotides long. RefSeq lists it as uncharacterized. The transcript has 3 exons. The record is from RefSeq and is a predicted model, not a curated record. Lineage: Eukaryota; Metazoa; Chordata; Actinopteri; Characiformes; Acestrorhamphidae.
UUCUCUGGGAGUAAAUAAGGAUUAGUAGAUUAGCAGUACAUUAGUAGUAGUAUAGUAGUAGUAUAGUAGUAGUAGAGUACAGGUCUGACCGUGAGUGAGGUGCAGCUGGUGGAAGAAGAGCUGGUAGCAUUUCUCUGGGAGUAAAUAAGGAUUAGUAGAUUAGCAGUACAGUAGUAGUAUAGUAGUAGUAGUAUGGUAUUAGUAGAGUAGUAGUAGAGUACAGGUCUGACCGUGAGUGAGGUGCAGCUGGUGGAAGAAGAGCUGGUAGCAUUUCUCUGGGAGUAAAUAAGGAUUA